This 1081-nucleotide ribosomal RNA is filed under the name Astrosclera willeyana. Its description in RNAcentral is "partial 18S ribosomal RNA". It matches the Rfam family "Eukaryotic large subunit ribosomal RNA", at positions 813 to 1873 of the family's 3401-position model. The record is from RNAcentral. Lineage: Eukaryota; Metazoa; Porifera; Demospongiae; Agelasida; Astroscleridae.
GACCCGAAAGAUGGUGAACUAUGCCUGAAUAGGGCGAAGCCAGAGGAAACUCUGGUGGAAGCUCGUAGCGAUUCUGACGUGCAAAUCGAUCGUCAAAUUUGGGUAUAGGGGCGAAAGACUAAUCGAACCAUCUAGUAGCUGGUUCCCUCCGAAGUUUCCCUCAGGAUAGCUGGAGCCCGGUGCAGUUUUAUCAGGUAAAGCGAAUGAUUAGAGGUCUUGGGGUUGAAACAACCUCAACCUAUUCUCAAACUUUAAAUGGGUAAGAAGCUCGGCUUGCUUAACUGAAGUCGGGCACUGAAUGCCGGGGCUCCUAGUGGGCCAUUUUUGGUAAGCAGAACUGGCGAUGCGGGAUGCACCGAACGCUGGGUUAAGGUGCCCGAGUCGACGCUCAUCAGAUACCAUGAAAGGUGUUGGUUGAUCUAGACAGCAGGACGGUGGCCAAGGAAGUCGGAAUCCGCUAAGGAGUGUGUAACAACUCACCUGCCGAAUCAACUAGCCCUGAAAAUGGAUGGCGCUGAAGCGUCGCACCCAUACCCAGCCGUUGGGCCGAGGGGCAUGGCCCAACGAGUAGGAGGGCGCAGUGGUGGCUGUGCAGCCUCGGGCGUGAGCCUGGGUGAAGCUGCCACUGGUGCAGAUCUUGGUGGUAGUAGCAAAUAUUCAAACGAGAGCUUUGAAGACUGAAGUGGGGAAGGGUUCCAUGUGAACAGCAGUUGGACAUGGGUUAGUCGAUCCUAAGAGAAGGGAGAGGUCCUUGUGGAGGGCGCAAUCGCUUCGGCGACCGCGCCGUCCCUCGAAAGGGAAUCGGGUUAACAUUCCCGAACCGGGAUGUGGAUAGGCCCCAGGCCAUUAGCGGCAACGCAAGCGAACUCGGAGACGUCGGCGAGAGCCCCGGGAAGAGUUCUCUUUUCUUCUUAACGGACUGGCACCCUGGAAUCAGAUUGGCUGGAGAUAGGGUUUAAUGUCCGGUAAAGCGCCACACUUGUGGUGGCGUCCGGUGCGCUCUCGACGGCCCUUGAAAAUCCGAGGGAGUGUUUGAUUCUCACGCCCGGUCGUACCGAUAACCGCAUCAGGUCUCCAAGGU